CAGUAGCCGCGGUAAUACAGAGGGUGCGAGCGUUAAUCGGAUUUACUGGGCGUAAAGCGUGCGUAGGCGGCUUCUUAAGUCGGAUGUGAAAUCCCUGAGCUUAACUUAGGAAUUGCAUUCGAUACUGGGAAGCUAGAGUAUGGGAGAGGAUGGUAGAAUUCCAGGUGUAGCGGUAAAAUGCGUAGAGAUCUGGAGGAAUACCGAUGGCGAAGGCAGCCAUCUGGCCUAAUACUGACGCUGAGGUACGAAAGCAUGGGGAGCAAACAGGAUUAGAUACCCGAGUAUCCCUGUCUCUUAUACA
RNAcentral lists this ribosomal RNA (301 nucleotides) under uncultured bacterium. RNAcentral's name for it is "partial 16S ribosomal RNA". It matches the Rfam family "Bacterial small subunit ribosomal RNA", at positions 509 to 809 of the family's 1533-position model. The record is from RNAcentral.